Molecule: long non-coding RNA, 1272 nt
Filed under: Camelus dromedarius (Arabian camel)
Lineage: Eukaryota; Metazoa; Chordata; Mammalia; Artiodactyla; Camelidae
Description: lncRNA (ENSCDRG00005006928.1)
Source: RNAcentral
AGAGUUUGUUGUGCUGGGUUCACAUGUCAUAGACUGAGUGGCAGAGUGAGCAUUGCAAUCUGGAGUUUUUGACUAGUGCCUUUCCACUUCAGUGCCUCUGGGAAACACAGGCUAGGUCUUACCACAUCCAUGACUGGCACUUGAAUGUGAGUUUGUUUAUCCUUCCUUUGUGAAAACUAGGUUUCAUAGUGGAGAAGAGGACACUUCAGUAUCUAAGGCGGACCUGAGGUUAGGAAUAGAAAGCAGAGAGAAGAGGUCGGACUUCAUCCAGAGCCAGCCUGGAAACAUCAAUUUCCAACGUGCGCGAAUACCGUCGCGCGAAGUUGUGGCCGUUUUGAGGGCAGUAACGGCAUCAGCAAUACCAGCAAACUGGGGAAAAGCUGCACCACAGACAGCGACAGACACAGGCUUUUUGGAACCUCAAACAGAGCGGAAGGAAAAUGGCAGAUGCUGUAAGACAACCGGGCACCCUAAGUUCUCGGGCAACUCUUCACCAGCCCCGUUUUUCUCCCUGAAAUAACAGGAGUGUUCUGGGUAAAACUCAAGGUACCUUACAAGAAGACAGAAAUCCUAGAAAAGAUGGGGAAAGAAAACAGGAAUACUAAUUGUAGUUAAUGUAUCUCGAUUUUUACCCACAGCUGCUGAAGUUUGAGGAAACACAGUUUUAUAAUCAAAGCUUGAUGGAGAAAGAAACUAGUCAUGUGACCAUUUGCCAAAAUAACAUAAGAAAUCAAAGAUGGAUCAAAGGACUAAAGUCUAGUUCAUGUAGCUUAUAACCCAUACUGCCAUCCCUCUUUCACUCAAGGAAGGAAUGAUUCGAAGUAAAUCACAACAAAGUGGAUAAAAAAUUAAAACCCUCAACUAUUGGUCCUACUGAUUAUGGCUCGAUGAUUUUACAUUUGGAUUUGGGAGAUUACAAAUUUGUCAGGUCUUCAAGCAAAGAGAGUCAUCUUCAGGCUUGGGCAAGAUUUCCCAACACCAGUGAAAUGUUUUGAAGAAGGAACAUGGUCCUUCCUACCCAGUGCAACCCCACUUCUUCACUCUGUCAAGGAUGUGGCUUAAGGUUUUCUGUUUGCUGCUCCCAGUGACAGAUGCCUUUCUUCUUAUAAUUGUAAUUUGCACAUCUGAUUAUUUAAGAGCAAGACUAUAAUCGGAGGGUGGGAAGGGAUGGGAUUUCAAAAUUGUAGAAUAGAUAAACAAGAUUAUACUUUAUAGCACGGGGAAAUAUACACAAGAUCUUAUGGUAGCUCACAGAGGAAAAAAUGUGACAAU